UGGGGAAUUUUGGACAAUGGGGGAAACCCUGAUCCAGCCAUCCCGCGUGUGCGAUGAAGGCCUUCGGGUUGUAAAGCACUUUUGGCAGGAAAGAAACGUCAUGGGUUAAUACCCCGUGAAACUGACGGUACCUGCAGAAUAAGCACCGGCUAACUACGUGCCAGCAGCCGCGGUAAUACGUAGGGUGCAAGCGUUAAUCGGAAUUACUGGGCGUAAAGCGUGCGCAGGCGGUUCGGAAAGAAAGAUGUGAAAUCCCAGAGCUCAACUUUGGAACUGCAUUUUUAACUACCGGGCUAGAGUGUGUCAGAGGGAGGUGGAAUUCCGCGUGUAGCAGUGAAAUGCGUAGAUAUGCGGAGGAACACCGAUGACGAAGGCAGCCUCCUGGGAUAACACUGACGCUCAUGCACGAAAGCGUGGGGAGCAAACAGG
RNAcentral lists this ribosomal RNA (429 nucleotides) under Acidobacteriota bacterium. Its description in RNAcentral is "Acidobacteria bacterium partial 16S ribosomal RNA". It matches the Rfam family "Bacterial small subunit ribosomal RNA", at positions 355 to 776 of the family's 1533-position model. Lineage: Bacteria; Pseudomonadati; Acidobacteriota. The record is from RNAcentral.